UGGGGAAUAUUGCACAAUGGGCGCAAGCCUGAUGCAGCCAUGCCGCGUGUAUGAAGAAGGCCUUCGGGUUGUAAAGUACUUUCAGCGAGGAGGAAGGCGUUGUGGUUAAUAACCGCAGCGAUUGACGUUACUCGCAGAAGAAGCACCGGCUAACUCCGUGCCAGCAGCCGCGGUAAUACGGAGGGUGCAAGCGUUAAUCGGAAUUACUGGGCGUAAAGCGCACGCAGGCGGUCUGCCAAGUCGGAUGUGAAAUCCCCGGGCUCAACCUGGGAACUGCAUCCGAAACUGGCAGGCUAGAGUCUUGUAGAGGGGGGUAGAAUUCCAGGUGUAGCGGUGAAAUGCGUAGAGAUCUGGAGGAAUACCGGUGGCGAAGGCGGCCCCCUGGACAAAGACUGACGCUCAGGUGCGAAAGCGUGGGGAGCAAACA
RNAcentral lists this ribosomal RNA (427 nucleotides) under uncultured bacterium. RNAcentral's name for it is "partial 16S ribosomal RNA". It matches the Rfam family "Bacterial small subunit ribosomal RNA", at positions 355 to 774 of the family's 1533-position model. The record is from RNAcentral.